CAGUCGCCACGGGAAUACGUAGGUGGCGAGCGUUGUCCGGAUUUAUUGGGCGUAAAGGGAGUGUAGGCGGUCUUUUAAGUCUGAUGUGAAAGCCCACGGCUCAACCGUGGAGGGUCAUUGGAAACUGGGAGACUUGAGUGCAGAAGAGGAGAGCGGAAUUCCAUGUGUAGCGGUGAAAUGCGUAGAUAUAUGGAGGAACACCAGUGGCGAAGGCGGCUCUCUGGUCUGUAACUGACGCUGAGGCUCGAAAGCGUGGGGAGCAAACAGGAUUAGAUACCCCCGUAGUCCCUGUCUCUUAUAC
This 301-nucleotide ribosomal RNA is filed under the name uncultured bacterium. Its description in RNAcentral is "partial 16S ribosomal RNA". It matches the Rfam family "Bacterial small subunit ribosomal RNA", at positions 509 to 807 of the family's 1533-position model. The record is from RNAcentral.